This 452-nucleotide ribosomal RNA is filed under the name uncultured bacterium. RNAcentral describes it as "bacterial SSU rRNA". It matches the Rfam family "Bacterial small subunit ribosomal RNA", at positions 8 to 507 of the family's 1533-position model. The record is from RNAcentral.
AGAGUUUGAUCCUGGCUCAGAACGAACGCUGGCGGCAUGCCUAACACAUGCAAGUCGAACGAGACCUUCGGGUCUAGUGGCGCACGGGUGCGUAACGCGUGGGAAUCUGCCCUUGGGUUCGGAGUAACAGUUAGAAAUGACUGCUAAUACCGGAUAAUGUCUUCGGACCAAAGAUUUAUCGCCCAGGGAUGAGCCCGCGUAGGAUUAGCUAGUUGGUGAGGUAAAGGCUCACCAAGGCGACGAUCCUUAGCUGGUCUGAGAGGAUGAUCAGCCACACUGGGACUGAGACACGGCCCAGACUCCUACGGGAGACAGCAGUGGGAAUAUUGGACAAUGGGCGAAAGCCUGAUCCAGCAAUGCCGCGUGAGUGAUGAAGGCCUUAGGGUUGUAAAGCUCUUUUACCCGGGAUGAUAAUGACAGUACCGGGAGAAUAAGCCCCGGCUAACUCCGUG